RNAcentral lists this unclassified non-coding RNA (354 nucleotides) under Hevea brasiliensis (rubber tree). The record is from RNAcentral. Lineage: Eukaryota; Viridiplantae; Streptophyta; Magnoliopsida; Malpighiales; Euphorbiaceae.
GCAUGAUCGUCAUAAGAAAUAUGGCACUAAAUGGAGACGAGGUGAACAACCUGUACGGCAAGAAUUCAGAUCUCAACUUUAUCUAUUUGUACGGGAUCGUCGAAGGCAACAUCGAUUCCUCCCAAUCGUUGCCAACUGCUGGUGUAAAUUCCAGCAAGUCGGAACCGCUGAUAUCUCGCUACUUCUUGCACUUCUUCAUCUUGUUUUGGGUUCUAAUCCUAUCAGUGAGUUUCAAAGUUGGAAGGUGCAUUCAUUCCAGGUGACUUAUUGUUGAAAAUUUGUAGUAGUAUUAGCGGUAGUUUAGAAACUUUCUAUGCUGCCAAAUACAACACGUUUGUUGCGGAUCUAUCUACA